RNAcentral lists this non-coding RNA (21 nucleotides) under Arabidopsis thaliana (thale cress). Lineage: Eukaryota; Viridiplantae; Streptophyta; Magnoliopsida; Brassicales; Brassicaceae. The record is from RNAcentral.
UGGCUCAUUAAAUCAGUUAUA